Molecule: ribosomal RNA, 165 nt
Filed under: uncultured bacterium
Lineage: Bacteria
Description: partial 16S ribosomal RNA
Rfam family: Bacterial small subunit ribosomal RNA
Source: RNAcentral
UAGGGAAUCUUCGGCAAUGGACGAAAGUCUGACCGAGCAACGCCGCGUGAGUGAAGAAGGUUUCCGGAUCGUAAAACUCUGUUGGUAGAGAAGAACGUUGGUGAGAGUGGAAAGCUCAUCAAGUGACGGUAACUACCCAGAAAGGGACGGCUAACUACGUGCCAG